Molecule: long non-coding RNA, 788 nt
Filed under: Podarcis muralis (Common wall lizard)
Lineage: Eukaryota; Metazoa; Chordata; Lepidosauria; Squamata; Lacertidae
Description: lncRNA (ENSPMRG00000007556.1)
Source: RNAcentral
GAAAGGCAGAGAUUACUUAAACUUCAUUCCACUCAUAUGAAGUUAUGAGGGGAUCCAGAAAAAGGCGACUGCUCGUUCACCAUCAUCAACGCUGGACUCGAUGACUGGGGCCAGUACUACUUUAGAAUUGAUAAAGGAGAGAGCUACAGAUACUCCUUUAAUCCUUCCAGUUCUCAAACUCACACUAAUCCUCAGGUUGUGCUGACAGAUCUGAAGAAGCCCAAAAUCAUAAAGCCACAUGAAGUGAUUUGGGAGAAGCCAGCCACUUUCAGAUGUACAGCAGCAGAAAUGUGCCCAGGGACUAAGCCCCAAAUCACCUGGCCUACACAACAUAUCCAUGGAAUACUCAACAGAGCAAUUGGAGCUCGACCUAUGGAGUUGACAUCACCUUCAAGCCCAGCUUAGCUGAUGAUGGCAUAGUCCUUACCUGCAGCAUCAAAUACCAUUUCUUGAAGAAAGCAGUCCACGUAGCCACCCGCCUUUCCUUUGGCUAUAGGCCUACAGCCAGCACCAUCCUGCCUAAUGCUACAUGUGAGAAUGAGGACCGAGGCCACCGUUACACCUGUUCUUUCCACUGCUGGCCUCCACCAACACUUACGUGGGAAGUGGACGGGGUAACCGUCACUGGGAACAGAGGAACGGAAACACAAGUGACAUGGAGGUCUUACAGUGGGCUGAGGGCAAUGCGGCGAGCAGCACCCUGCUGUGGAAAGGAGCCUCCAUUGACCACCAUGACCCCUUCAUCACCUGCACGGCAACCAACCCCUUUGGGAAGCAGACAAUGGUGA